Prosopis cineraria is the source of this 3815-nucleotide long non-coding RNA. RefSeq lists it as uncharacterized. The record is from RefSeq and is a predicted model, not a curated record. NCBI's taxonomy places the organism in Eukaryota, Viridiplantae, Streptophyta, Magnoliopsida, Fabales, Fabaceae. The transcript has 2 exons.
UGGAAUCUAUGAAGGUUUUUCUCGAAGUAUGGUUGGAGGCGAUCUGAGCAAACACGGCAGGAUUACUGGUUGCUCCGCCGAUGGAGAUGAGAGUUUUUAGGGGAGGGGUUUUGGUUCUGAUGCUACUCGUGAAUCUCGAGAGGCUUUCGGCCGUUAAAUUAAAUACUCGUAAUUUGUAUGUGAUGCUGUUUGGCGCGAGGAAAGCGUAGUAGAUGUGAGUGUACAAUGAUGAGUUUAUGGCUGAAGCAGGGAAGAUCGAUUGCUCAAACCAGUAAGCGCCUCUCACCACUGAAUGUGAAUUGGAUAAUGCCGUCGUGCAUCUGGAGGUCACUGCCAGCAGAAUUGCGUUGAGAAGGAAAGUCACAACGUUUAGUUUAGUCGCCAUGAUUUGGCUGCGGAGUUUUGAGUUGAUGGGCAAAGCUCGCUACUUGAAGGCUCUAUAUAAAGACUAAUAAAGAGGUUUCUCAAAGAAGCAAGUGUAUGGUAUACUUAAAUCUUAAUAUGACAGAAGUAAAAGAUUAUUGAAACAAGUUUUCAGAAGAGAGAGUUUUAAAAGAGAGACAUAAUUAAAAACACUCUAAUCUUAUUCUUAAAUGAGCUUUGUGUUAUAAUACAAAUGAAACUCUUUUUUAUAGAUGAAGGGAGGAAAGUAAAGACAACACACUAACUAUUACAAGAUGAGAUAUCAUCACAUGUAUACACUCUUUUUCAAAAGAAAAGUUGGACAUGACUAAAAGUAAAAGCAAUUUUACUACAACUGACUUGACUAAAGCAGACAAUUUUGUCAAAAAGUAAAAGUUACUUUUGAUAAAAAUGACUCCAAAGUAAAACUAACAUUAACAAAAGUAGGCAUGAGUAAGAAAAGCGGAUUAUUGACUUGAUUAAAGAUAAGGUUUCAAUUAUUUUAGACUUUUGUGAAUGCUUUCUUGAUGAAAUGACAGAUUUAGGUAGCUUUUCUCUCUUUAUAAAAAGUUAGGUUGAGAGGCUUUUUGCUUGUUCUUCAUCAAAACCUUCAUCUAUAUAUUGAGAUACUACAGGGCCAAGGGUGCCUUUUGUCUCUAGAAAUAAUUGUUAGGUUUGAAACUCUAUUUAAUAGGGUCUUGGUUAUUUAGAGGAAACAAGUUGAGAGUGGAUCCCGUACUUUUAAAAGACUGUGCUCCAUGAAAAAUGAGAAGUUUUUCAUUAAAUUACCCUUCAAGAAGUGAGUAUAUUAAUCUCACAAAAGCAUCCCAUCUCCGGAUGAAUCUAGAAGAUCUUAUGCCGGCAAGACAAGAAUAUGCAGCUUUAUUGAAGAAGGGAUUGAUUGAACUCACCAAGUCAGGCUGGACAUGUCAAGUAUUCUAUGUUUAAAAAAGAUCAUAAAAGCAAUGAGGAAAAAAGAGACUAGUAAUUGACUAUAAGUUUCUCAAUGCUUUUUUACAAGAUGACAAAUUUUCUCUUCUAAAAAUUUAAACUCAAUUACUUAAUGUGAAGCAAGCCAAGAUUUUCUCAAAGUUUGAUUUUAAGGAAGGAUUUUGGCAAUUGGGUAUAGAUCUUGUGGAUUAUUAUAAGAUGACCUUCUGUAUUCCAAAUGCUUAAUGCGAAUGGAUAGUUAUGUCUCUUGGGCUUAAAACUACCUAUUAUUAUUUCAAAAGGUCAUGAUUUGUAUCUGUGGGCCCAUUAUCAACAACACCCUGGUGUAUAUUAAUGACAUUUUAUUAUUCGUAGAAACAAAGCAAGAGCAUAAAGAUCUACUAGCUCAAUUCUACAAGAUAAUCCAAUAAUAUUGAAUUAUGCUUUUAGCUUGUAAAGGGUCAUAUUCAAGAUAGAUAGUACUAGCCUUGCCCACAUAUUGCCCAAGAAUUAUUAAAUUUUUCUGAUGAAAACUUAUCCAAAUCUCAGAUUCAAUAGUUCUUAGAUAUGGUAAAUUACAUUAGGGAUUUUAUUCCUUAAGUGUUCUAUCACACUAGCCAACUGUUUAAACUAUUGUGAAAAAAUCCACCAUCUUAAGGAUCUAACUAGACAAAAGUUGUCCAAUAUCCAUAGCAAAUUUGUCAGCAUCCUUCAUCAUUAAGGAUUCCUGACAAAUGACAAAGAGUUUUGCAAACUGAUACAGGCAAUGACUAUUGGGGAGCAGUACUCAUUGAGAAAGAAAAUGGUAAAAGACAUUAUUGUGGUCAUACUAGCGAUGAAUUCAAGCCUUUCGAAAAGUAUUAUCACAGUCUAUAAAAAAGUCUUAAUUGUGAAACAUGGCAUAAAGAAAUUCAAUUUUUAUCUUAGCCCCUAUCGCUUUAUAGUAGAAAUGGACAACACAUCAUUCUCAAAAAUUCUUGAUCAAAACAAAAAGAUACUCCUUGAAGCUCAACUUCUUUGAUGGAAAGAUUGAUACAAUUUGACACAUUAAAGAAAAUCAUAACACCAUUGCAUAAUAUCUCACUAGACUUCAAAAAGUUCAACUUAUAACAAUGUCACAUAACCAACUUCUUUAUAUCCUUAACAUCAUGCCCAAAUAAUUAAUUUUUCCUCCAAGAUUCAAUCCUAAAACUAUCCUUGAAGUCCAUUAAUUAGCCAAGAAAAGUUUGUUAUUUUAACUCCACCUUCUCCUCUAAAAAAUCCAAAUCCAACCCUAGCUUGAGUUUUUUUUUUUUAACAUUCAAACUCCAUACAUGGCUAUACCCUAUAUGAGAGGACCCAUACCAAAUAAAACCAUGUGGUGGUAUCUCUGGUUUCUCUUGACUCUCUAUGCAUGUGCCUUAGCUUUUUCACCAUUGAUCAUUUAUAAUUAUCUUCAUGACUCUGUUAAUGAAGGAUCUAAUAUAUGGAAUUUUUUAGAGUGGUUUUCACCAUUAUCAGAUGGCAUAAGAAACUUUCUCAAGUGAUUGAAAAAUAUGGUUUGUGGAAGGUACCAUUGAAUGAACACAAGGCUUAUUCCUUCUUUGUUGUUCAUCGUCCUUACUACCUAGACAACCAUGGGGAUCUUUAUGUGGCCAACCAAGCAUGUGCGUGGAAAACUUCAAUUAACUGGUCGACACAUGAAAAAUUAGUUUUAACUAAGUUAAAAUAUUUUUAUGUGAAAUGAACAACUUUUCAAGUACAAAUUUUAAUGUCAGGGGUACAUCUCUUAGUCUUAUCCCACAUCAAUCUAUCCUCCCUAAUGAGCCGUCACCAUUUGUACAAUAUCAUAUUCUAGAAUAGCUUUCCAGUAUUGUUGUUCAACAAGUUUACUCAACCUAGAUGGAAUCUUAUUAUGAAGCACAAUUGUCGCAAAGUAUAGGAUCCAAUCUCAACUUGUUUCCUCCAAACAAGCAGGACCUUUAUGAAAUAGAGUCUCAAACUACCAAUUAUUUUCAAAGAUAAAAGGCACCCUUACCCCUAUACCAUCUUAAGGUAUGGAUGAAGAUUUUGAUUAAGAACAAAUCAGCCCGACUUUUUAGAAAGAGAGAGAAAAGCUACCUAAAUUUGUCCUUUGAUCAAGAAUGCAUCCAUAAAAGUCUGAGAUGAUUGAAACAUUAUCUUCAAUCAUGUAAAGAAUUUGCUUUUGUUAAUGAUGCUUGCUUUUGUCAAUGUAACCUUUGCUUUAGAGUCAUUUUUGUCAAAAGUAGCUUUUACUUGUUGACAAAAUUGUCCAUUUUAGUCAAGUGAGCUUUAGUAAAGUUGCUUUUACUUUUAGUCAUGUCCAACUUUACUUUUGAAAAAGAGUAUAUGCAUGCAUGAUAUGUCAUCUUGUAAUAAUUAGUAUGCUGUCUUCACUUUCCUUCCUUCAUCUGCAAAAGGAAGUCUCAUUUGUAUUGUAAGACAGAGCUCGUUUAAGAAUAAGAUCAGAGUGUUUUCAAUUA